GCGCCAAGCCGGCCGGGACACAGGCGAGAUGCCCGUAUGGAGGUGGAGGAGAAGCUGUGCCAACUAAUAACAUCAGCAAGGCAAAGGAUCAGGCUGGGAGCCGCCGCAUCCCGGGAGGGAAUGGGGCCCAGACGAAGGCCUCUCGCCACAGAGGAACAUCUCGCUGCACCGCUGCGGCUGCUGCCAAGACCCCCACCCAGAGAGUAGAGGAAUUGACGUGGAUUAUCAAUAUGCUGUUGUG
Molecule: long non-coding RNA, 241 nt
Organism: Lacerta agilis (Sand lizard)
Lineage: Eukaryota; Metazoa; Chordata; Lepidosauria; Squamata; Lacertidae
Exons: 4
Source: RefSeq, a predicted model, not a curated record